UGCAGAUCUCUGUGCUGCGUGGAACAGGAGUUGCCUAAGUGGCACCGGGCUCAGCCAUGUGCUAAAAUCACAGCCUGAGCAGGCUCUCUGAGCUUUAUUGUCAACUUUACAUGAUAAAGAUAACAGCAGCUUCCUUGAAGACUGCUUUAAGAAUUGCAGAUUCAUCAUUAGUUGGGCUUUCAUCAUGUUGACCAGGCUGGUCUCGAACUCCUUACCUCAGGUGAUCCACCUGCCUCUACCACAGAAAAUGCUGUGAUUACAGUAUGCCAUACUUAUGAAGAUAUAUCUUAACAACUACAAUUGUAUUCAACAUAAGAAUGAUGACAGGAGAAAAGAAGAACAGAAAAGAAAAUAAAAAGGUAUGAAAGGAGGAUGAAAAAAACAAGAAGUGGAAAUUGAGC
Molecule: long non-coding RNA, 401 nt
Filed under: Callithrix jacchus (white-tufted-ear marmoset)
Lineage: Eukaryota; Metazoa; Chordata; Mammalia; Primates; Cebidae
Description: lncRNA (ENSCJAG00000086599.1)
Source: RNAcentral